Molecule: signal recognition particle RNA, 100 nt
Filed under: Chloroflexota bacterium
Lineage: Bacteria; Bacillati; Chloroflexota
Also listed under: 1 other name
Description: Chloroflexi bacterium signal recognition particle sRNA small type
Rfam family: Bacterial small signal recognition particle RNA
About the family: The signal recognition particle (SRP) is a universally conserved ribonucleoprotein involved in the co-translational targeting of proteins to membranes.
Source: RNAcentral
GGGUGGGUCCGGCGCGGCGGAAACCUGUGAACCCCGUCAGGUCCGAGAGGAAGCAGCGGUAAGUAGGUCCCUCCGGGCGCCGCCGGGUUGCCUGCCCGGU